Molecule: long non-coding RNA, 3171 nt
Organism: Pteropus alecto (black flying fox)
Lineage: Eukaryota; Metazoa; Chordata; Mammalia; Chiroptera; Pteropodidae
Exons: 11
Source: RefSeq, a predicted model, not a curated record
CUUCUGUCUCUUCACCUGAAAGCCAGCCUUGUAGCUCUGUGUCGCCAUAGUGUGCCUUAUGGUCUACUAACCCACCAAGAGGAGCCAGUGCCACUGAAGAGCAGCUCUGUGAACUUGUCCAUUUGUGAGUGUGUGGCUGGCGUGUCUGUUACCUUAAACUAUGAAAAUAAAGAGAAAGUUCCUUUGGAGGUCUUCUUUGUAUUUCCCGUGGAUGAAGACUCAGCUGUCUAUGACUUUGAGGCCAUGGUAGAUGGGAAAAAAUGGCAGAAUACAGGACAAGAUGAAGCCACUAUUUUCCUAAAAGUAUUUGGAGGGAAAAAUCAGUCAGGCUUUCAAGGAGGAUAAGUGCUCCAGGGACAUCUGCUGUAAUGUGGAGAACCUCUAUCCUGGCUCAAAGGCAGCACUCACCCUGAAGUAUGUGCAGGAGCUGCCCCUGGAAGCAGAUGAGGCUUUGAACUAUGUGCUCCCAGCCAUCCUAAAUCCUUGGUAUCAACUAUCUGAUUGUUUGAUGGGAGAUCCAUCUUCAAUGAUGAGUUUCUACCUGAACAUCCCAGAAGCUCAGCCACCAAUUACCUGUGGAUAAUUUGUCUUCCUUAUGAACUAUGCAAGGCCCCAUGAGUAAACAGGAUAAAUCUCAACCGCGCAUAGAGGCGGCCAAGGAAGCACUGAUUUUGCUGCAGAAGAGUUUGCCUAUAGGCAGUUAUUUCAACGUAUAUGGAUUUGGAUCUUGCUAUGAGCCAUUCUUUCACUUUUUGUCUUCAUAGAUGGAGAAGUUACUGACACAUUUAGUGUAAUUAAAGAAGUUCAGAUCUACAGUCUGAGGCACAGGCAUGUUCAGUAGACAGAAGAGGCGAAUGAUUAAGAAAAACACAAUUUUUUUACUAAUACCCAUACUUCCAAGGCUCUUAGGGCUCUGAAAUGGUCUCUGCAGCCUGUAGUAGAGGACAUUUGUCGGAGCUGGGAUUUGCCUUUUGUUCUAUCUGCUAAAAUGCUUUCCCCGGAACAGACUGUAAUCUUUAGGAGUCAGAGGUUAAUUAUACAUGCCCAGCUAACUGGAAUAAUGCCACCAGCAGAGGCAACAGGAGAAGUUUGCCUCAAGUACACCCUCCAGAGCAAGAGUUUUGAGAAUAAAGUGACAUUUUCUCUACAGCCUGUUUGAUGCCAACCUCAUCAUUCACCACCUUGCUGCCGAGUCCUUUCUCCAGACAAAGGAUAUGGGCUUCAGGGAGACUCCAGCAAAAGAUAAAAAAGAUGUGUUGAAAGUCAGCACUGAUUGCGGAGUCAUAAGCUCCCACACAGCUUUCAUUGCCGUCAACAAGGAUCUCAAUGACCUAGUUCGGGGCUCCCUGGUUCAUAGGGACAUCCCAAGGCCAAUUCUGUUGAGUGCUACUGUUGUGAUACCAUGAUACCAUGGAGGUGGUGAGUUUUACCUCAUUCAAAUUCAUAAAAUUAGGAGACUUGGAUGUUUGAACACAUCAUUUAAAGGAAACAUUUAUAAAAGUUCCUUUUUUCCUUUGUCCCUCUAUAUCUAGGAUUUCUGGCUGGUGUCAACCUUUUCUGUCCUAGAGAACUAGAAUAUAUCCCAUUGCAAGGAGAUUUAAAAGCAGUAUCGGUGGCGAGGAGGGGCACACAAGGAAAAUUAAAACAGAAAAUGCACAUAAACAUUGUCUAAAUUUGAAACUGAUUUAUUUUAUUGAUAAUUAGAUGGUUAAUGAUUAUACCAGUGGCUGGUGAACAACCCGGUAGUGUUAGGACAUGGGUGCUGAUUGCUGGGACUGUCUCAGGCAUUAGCCAAGCAAGCCUGAUUUUAAAUAUAAGGGAUUUGAGGAUUAGGAUCAGGUGGAGAAAUUCCCUGGGCAGGUUUCUGUGGCCGGAGGGGAAUGUAUGUUAGUUCUAGAGGCAGGCUUCAAGGUGGGCCCAGAUUUUUGGUUGGGCAACUGGGUAGAUGAUGAUACCAUUUAUUUAAUAGAAUAAAUAAAGAACAAAGGCAAGUUUAGAGUAUAAAAUGUUGAAUUAUUUUUGAGAAUUUUGAACUUGAGAUUCCUAUGGAACAUCCACAUGAAGAUGUCCAGUAGAAAGGGAGAUAGAUGGGUCUGAGGUUCAGAAGAGAGGUCAGGGAUGAAGAUAUACAUUUGGCAAAAACUAAAGUCAUGAGAAUGGGUGAAAUUAUACAGAGAGCAGGUAUAAAGUGAGGUGAAAAAGACUAUGACAACUAUGAUUAAAAGUUUCAUCAGUAUGUAAUAUAUUUAAUUACUAAAUGAAGACAAUAGUCCCUCUAAAUCUAUGUUGCCAUUCUUUAAAAAAUAAAAAUAAAGGACAAUGAGAUUAAAACAUCGAAGAAUAUCCAGUAUCUCAAGAUGGAUUCCCCAAACCAUAAUAAAAUUAAUGAAAUAGGAAAAAGAGAUGCAAGUGCAUAUUCAAAAGAAAAGGAACUAUGAUAUAACAAAGGGAAUUAUCAAAGUAUCAAAUAUUGCAGAGAAAUCAAAGUAAAACUGAAUAGAGUCUAUUAGGUUAAUACAAAAAAAAUAGUACUUGCUAAUCUAAUCAAGAACAAUUUCAUUGGCUUAGAUUAGGAAAGAAUUUGUAUUAUACAUUGUUAAAGAGCAAAUGAGAGGUGGGAAAUAAAGGGCGGCUUGUAUAGACACUUUUUAUAAAUGUUGAAAAUGGGAAGGGGUAGAGUGCUAUCUGUAGAAGAAAUUGUAGAGUUUGGGUGGUUUUCUGUGUCUUAUAUCUCUUUAAAAUUUCAGAAUGAGAGAGAUUUAAGGGUGUUGUAAUACUAAUAGGAAAGUGCUCAUAGAGAGGGUUGACAAUGCCGGGAGCGGGGUACUAAGGUUAGCUAAUUGAGAAGGGAGUUCGAGGGAGUUAGAGAGGAUGAGAUCUAAAACUACAGUGGUGGGGUUAGGCUUUAAUAGGACAAAUAUUAGGACAUUCUUCCCCUAUUGCCAGGAAGUGAAGAGAAGGUGAUGGGAUUAGAUUUUAGUUCACGGGCUGAGAAGCAUCUUUUUGAAGUUUCUGUAUGAUAGUUUUUCUAUAGUUUUAGUGAAAGAGAUUAGCUAAAGAGUUAGCAAGAUUAGCUAGCAUGUAUGAGACUAGACUGGUAGAACAGAGAAUUUGAGGAAAAGAUUUGAAAUAAUUCUGUGGAAAACUGGAGAGUGAAACACUCAGGGAGAA